CCCAUAUGAUGAGAGUUUCUUCCCUGACAAACAGCUGGAGGUAAACUGAUUUAAUGAGCCUGAUGG
This is a small nucleolar RNA of Branchiostoma floridae (Florida lancelet), 66 nucleotides long. Lineage: Eukaryota; Metazoa; Chordata; Leptocardii; Amphioxiformes; Branchiostomatidae. The record is from RefSeq and is a predicted model, not a curated record.